GGAGGAUCCGAGCGUUAUCCGGAUUUACUGGGUGUAAAGGGAGCGCAGGCGGUGCGGCAAGUCUGAUGUGAAAGCCCGGGGCUCAACCCCGGUACUGCAUUGGAAACUGUCGUACUAGAGUGUCGGAGGGGUAAGCGGAAUUCCUAGUGUAGCGGUGAAAUGCGUAGAUAUUAGGAGGAACACCAGUGGCGNAGGCGGCUUACUGGACGAUGACUGACGCUGAGGCUCGAAAGCGUCGGGAGCAAACAGGAUUAGAUACCCUGGUAGUCCACGCCGUANACGAUGAAUACUNGGUGUCGGGGAGCACAGCUCUUCGGUGCCGCCGCANACGCAUUAAGCAUUCCGCCUGGGGAGU
Molecule: ribosomal RNA, 355 nt
Filed under: uncultured bacterium
Lineage: Bacteria
Description: bacterial SSU rRNA
Rfam family: Bacterial small subunit ribosomal RNA
Source: RNAcentral